RNAcentral lists this ribosomal RNA (1521 nucleotides) under metagenome. RNAcentral describes it as "bacterial SSU rRNA". It matches the Rfam family "Bacterial small subunit ribosomal RNA". The record is from RNAcentral.
GAGUUUGAUCAUGGCUCAGAUUGAACGCUGGCGGCAGGCCUAACACAUGCAAGUCGAACGGUAACAGGAAACAGCUUGCUGUUUCGCUGACGAGUGGCGGACGGGUGAGUAAUGUCUGGGAAACUGCCUGAUGGAGGGGGAUAACUACUGGAAACGGUAGCUAAUACCGCAUAACGUCGCAAGACCAAAGAGGGGGACCUUCGGGCCUCUUGCCAUCAGAUGUGCCCAGAUGGGAUUAGCUAGUAGGUGGGGUAACGGCUCACCUAGGCGACGAUCCCUAGCUGGUCUGAGAGGAUGACCAGCCACACUGGAACUGAGACACGGUCCAGACUCCUACGGGAGGCAGCAGUGGGGAAUAUUGCACAAUGGGCGCAAGCCUGAUGCAGCCAUGCCGCGUGUAUGAAGAAGGCCUUCGGGUUGUAAAGUACUUUCAGCGGGGAGGAAGGGAGUAAAGUUAAUACCUUUGCUCAUUGACGUUACCCGCAGAAGAAGCACCGGCUAACUCCGUGCCAGCAGCCGCGGUAAUACGGAGGGUGCAAGCGUUAAUCGGAAUUACUGGGCGUAAAGCGCACGCAGGCGGUUUGUUAAGUCAGAUGUGAAAUCCCCGGGCUCAACCUGGGAACUGCAUCUGAUACUGGCAAGCUUGAGUCUCGUAGAGGGGGGUAGAAUUCCAGGUGUAGCGGUGAAAUGCGUAGAGAUCUGGAGGAAUACCGGUGGCGAAGGCGGCCCCCUGGACGAAGACUGACGCUCAGGUGCGAAAGCGUGGGGAGCAAACAGGAUUAGAUACCCUGGUAGUCCACGCCGUAAACGAUGUCGACUUGGAGGUUGUGCCCUUGAGGCGUGGCUUCCGGAGCUAACGCGUUAAGUCGACCGCCUGGGGAGUACGGCCGCGAGGUUAAAACUCAAAUGAAUUGACGGGGGCCCGCACAAGCGGUGGAGCAUGUGGUUUAAUUCGAUGCAACGCGAAGAACCUUACCUGGUCUUGACAUCCACGGAAGUUUUCAGAGAUGAGAAUGUGCCUUCGGGAACCGUGAGACAGGUGCUGCAUGGCUGUCGUCAGCUCGUGUUGUGAAAUGUUGGGUUAAGUCCCGCAACGAGCGCAACCCUUAUCCUUUGUUGCCAGCGGUCCGGCCGGGAACUCAAAGGAGACUGCCAGUGAUAAACUGGAGGAAGGUGGGGAUGACGUCAAGUCAUCAUGGCCCUUACGACCAGGGCUACACACGUGCUACAAUGGCGCAUACAAAGAGAAGCGACCUCGCGAGAGCAAGCGGACCUCAUAAAGUGCGUCGUAGUCCGGAUUGGAGUCUGCAACUCGACUCCAUGAAGUCGGAAUCGCUAGUAAUCGUGGAUCAGAAUGCCACGGUGAAUACGUUCCCGGGCCUUGUACACACCGCCCGUCACACCAUGGGAGUGGGUUGCAAAAGAAGUAGGUAGCUUAACCUUCGGGAGGGCGCUUACCACUUUGUGAUUCAUGACUGGGGUGAAGUCGUAACAAGGUAACCGUAGGGGAACCUGCGGUUG